RNAcentral lists this long non-coding RNA (467 nucleotides) under Mus pahari (shrew mouse). RNAcentral's name for it is "lncRNA (MGP_PahariEiJ_G0005985.1)". The record is from RNAcentral. Lineage: Eukaryota; Metazoa; Chordata; Mammalia; Rodentia; Muridae.
GCCACCCCCCAUCCCCAGCACAGGAAAGGAAUGAAUAAGCUCCACAUUAGCCUCCCAACCAUGCUGGCUUCCUUGUGGUCCCAGCUGUCUAAAUGUGUUCUGAAUUUUAAGGUGUGAUAACAAGAAUAUAUUUCCUCUGAAUCCAGAAGUCAGAUUGGAUCCUUGGGGUGGUCCGGUGGUUUACUUUCUAGAGUCUAACUGCAGGGAUGGCUCUAUUCAGCAUGUGUUACAUCAUGGAGUUCUUAGUACCGCAUCGGCUAUCCUCCAUGGCGUCUGCCCCUCCGUGCUGCUUCUAGCCCCGUCUUCCCAUCUGCAGUGGCUUGCUUCUCAUCCAUGCCUUUCCAGACCUUUCCCGACUCACCCUUUGUCUCCUUCUUUCAUCUACCCUUGCCACCCAGAGCACUUAGCUGCCGGUUCUGCUUUUAUAAAUAAUUUUUAAAAAAUAAAUCCCUUCAUUCCUUUGUGAA